RNAcentral lists this ribosomal RNA (236 nucleotides) under uncultured Staphylococcus sp. RNAcentral's name for it is "partial 16S ribosomal RNA". It matches the Rfam family "Bacterial small subunit ribosomal RNA", at positions 104 to 334 of the family's 1533-position model. The record is from RNAcentral. Lineage: Bacteria; Bacillati; Bacillota; Bacilli; Caryophanales; Staphylococcaceae.
GGGUGAGUAACACGUGGAUAACCUACCUAUAAGACUGGGAUAACUUCGGGAAACCGGAGCUAAUACCGGAUAAUAUAUUGAACCGCAUGGUUCAAUAGUGAAAGACGGUUUUGCUGUCACUUAUAGAUGGAUCCGCGCCGCAUUAGCUAGUUGAUAAGGUAACGGCUUACCAAGGCAACGAUGCGUAGCCGACCUGAGAGGGUGAUCGGCCACACUGGAACUGAGACACGGUCCAG